RNAcentral lists this transfer RNA (87 nucleotides) under Caudoviricetes sp. RNAcentral describes it as "tRNA-Thr". It matches the Rfam family "tRNA". From Rfam's summary of the family: Transfer RNA (tRNA) molecules are approximately 80 nucleotides in length. Their secondary structure includes four short double-helical elements and three loops (D, anti-codon, and T loops). The record is from RNAcentral. Lineage: Duplodnaviria; Heunggongvirae; Uroviricota; Caudoviricetes.
GCUGAGUUCCCAUAGUGGUCGAUUGGAGCGGUUUUGUAAGCCGCAGACUUCGUGUCCGCAUCAGUUCGAAUCUGAUACUCAGCUCCA